CAAAAAGAAUAGUCUCAGUUCGGACUGUGGGCUGCAACCCGCCCACACGAAGUCGGAGUUGCUAGUAAUCCCGAAUCAGCAUGUCGGGGUGAAUGCGUUCCCGGGUCUUGUACACACCGCCCGUCACGCCAUGGGAGUUGGGGAUACCCGAAGCCUGUGAGCUAACUAUUUAUAGGAGCAGCAGUCGAAGGUAGAAUCAAUGAUUGGGGUGAAGUCGUAACAAGGUAAC
This 229-nucleotide ribosomal RNA is filed under the name uncultured bacterium. RNAcentral's name for it is "partial 16S ribosomal RNA". It matches the Rfam family "Bacterial small subunit ribosomal RNA", at positions 1274 to 1500 of the family's 1533-position model. The record is from RNAcentral.